CGUUACGGCCACACCGGCCUGAGUACGCCUGAUCUCGUCCGAUCUCGGAAGCUAAGCAGGGUCGGCCUGGUUAGUACUUGGAUGGGAGACCGCCUGGGAAUACCAGGUGCUGUAAGCU
RNAcentral lists this ribosomal RNA (118 nucleotides) under Oncorhynchus mykiss (rainbow trout). The record is from RNAcentral. Lineage: Eukaryota; Metazoa; Chordata; Actinopteri; Salmoniformes; Salmonidae.